Magallana angulata is the source of this 421-nucleotide long non-coding RNA. RefSeq lists it as uncharacterized. The record is from RefSeq and is a predicted model, not a curated record. The transcript is spliced from 4 exons. Lineage: Eukaryota; Metazoa; Mollusca; Bivalvia; Ostreida; Ostreidae.
CUAGUUAACAGCUUUAAGCUAUCUGCAAGUUUUUACGCAUUCCCUUGAUAAAUUAACAGUACGGUUAUACUAAUAUUUAGAAGAUACCCACUGCUGAUAAGUGUCUCUGGCAAUUGAACUGAACAUCAGACAAUGGACAAUGCAGAGAGAAAUAUUUCCAAAAUAACUGAAAGAGUAAUUUCAAAUACUGAGAACUUACUUACUUGCCGUAAGGAGAUUAUAUCACCACAUGAUAUUCCAACCAUAAAGAAAAAGAUAAAAGAUGCGGAAGAGAAACUGGAAGUCUACGAAAAAAAAUGGUUUCAAUCUUUUUACAAAGAGUACGUAUUAUGUUUAUUUAUGAGGAUAAUAUAACUUGUUACGCAAUACUGCCCAAUUAAAUUUAGAACUUUUAUUAAUACAUAUUUGAUAUUUUUAAAAA